RNAcentral lists this ribosomal RNA (151 nucleotides) under uncultured bacterium. RNAcentral's name for it is "partial 16S ribosomal RNA". It matches the Rfam family "Bacterial small subunit ribosomal RNA", at positions 382 to 530 of the family's 1533-position model. The record is from RNAcentral.
CCUGAACCAGCCAAGUCGCGUGAAGGAAGAAGGAUCUAUGGUUCGUAAACUUCUUUUGCAGGGGAAUAAAGUGCAGGACGUGUCCUGUUUUGUAUGUACCCUGAGAAUAAGGAUCGGCUAACUCCGUGCCAGCAGCCGCGGUAAUAAGUGU